This 252-nucleotide long non-coding RNA is filed under the name Lathyrus oleraceus (garden pea). RNAcentral describes it as "Pisum sativum (pea) long non-coding RNA (PSAT_LNC007423)". The record is from RNAcentral. Lineage: Eukaryota; Viridiplantae; Streptophyta; Magnoliopsida; Fabales; Fabaceae.
AAAAUCAUGCAAAUUAGGGAUUUUAACCUAAACAUACAUCUACUCAUUGACCCGAUCAUACUAACCCAUAAUAAUAAGGAUUCCCCCCUUACCUCUUCAAUUUUCUGGAAACCCUAGCUCCUCUCUUGUUCUUCCCCUUUUCUCCUCACUUUUCCUCUUCUCUUUCUCUAUUGCCUUCAAUGAUCAAAUGAAUCCUAAUUCUCACUUUCCUCGCCUCUUACUAUUUAUAUUAGUAUUCUAUUUGGGCUUAAG